Molecule: transfer RNA, 75 nt
Filed under: Bacteroidota bacterium
Lineage: Bacteria; Pseudomonadati; Bacteroidota
Description: Bacteroidetes bacterium (activated sludge metagenome) tRNA-Val
Rfam family: tRNA
About the family: Transfer RNA (tRNA) molecules are approximately 80 nucleotides in length.
Source: RNAcentral
GGGAGCUUAGCUCAGUUGGUUCAGAGCACCUGCCUUACAAGCAGGGGGUCCGUGGUUCGAAUCCGUGUGCGCCCA